Molecule: ribosomal RNA, 433 nt
Filed under: uncultured Roseburia sp.
Lineage: Bacteria; Bacillati; Bacillota; Clostridia; Lachnospirales; Lachnospiraceae
Description: partial 16S ribosomal RNA
Rfam family: Bacterial small subunit ribosomal RNA
Source: RNAcentral
ACGGGAGCAGCAGUGGGGGAUAUUGCACAAUGGGGGAAACCCUGAUGCAGCGACGCCGCGUGAGUGAAGAAGUAUUUCGGUAUGUAAAGCUCUAUCAGCAGGAAAGAUAAUGACGGUACCUGACUAAGAAGCACCGGCUAAAUACGUGCCAGCAGCCGCGGUAAUACGUAUGGUGCGAGCGUUAUCCGGAUUUACUGGGUGUAAAGGGAGCGCAGGCGGUACGGCAAGUCUGAUGUGAAAGCCCGGGGCUCAACCCCGGUACUGCAUUGGAAACUGUCGAACUAGAGUGUCGGAGGGGUAAGUGGAAUUCCUAGUGUAGCGGUGAAAUGCGUAGAUAUUAGGAGGAACACCAGUGGCGCAGGCGACUUACUGGACGAUAACUGACGCUGAGGCUCGAAAGCGUGGGGAGCAAACAGGAUUAGAUACCCUGGUA